GAGCUGAAGAGAUACUUAGAGCAUAGUAGAUGCGCAUGUUCCAGCACUUUCAUGUACCUGGAUUGAUAUACACAAUCCUGUUGAAGCAUCUAGCACAUUUCAUUGCAAGUCUCCUCAUUAUGAUUUGUGAACAUCUUCAUGGAUGGAAACAGGCGUGCCUUCUCCCUGCCUGGCCAAGGCAGCAACCAGCGAUGCUGCUGCAGACCAGAACAAAGAAGCCAGGCUACCUACAGGGGGACGCAUGUGAGAAGAGCGAUGUUUGGGAAGAUGAGGCAUAACACAGGGCAAGCACGUUUGGGGACCA
Molecule: long non-coding RNA, 304 nt
Organism: Fukomys damarensis (Damara mole-rat)
Lineage: Eukaryota; Metazoa; Chordata; Mammalia; Rodentia; Bathyergidae
Exons: 3
Source: RefSeq, a predicted model, not a curated record